RNAcentral lists this ribosomal RNA (969 nucleotides) under Triticum aestivum (bread wheat). RNAcentral describes it as "partial small subunit ribosomal RNA". Lineage: Eukaryota; Viridiplantae; Streptophyta; Magnoliopsida; Poales; Poaceae. The record is from RNAcentral.
AUGGCUCGCAAGAAGGUGGCCCUCCGGUACAUCCUCGAUAAAAAUUCCAGAUGUAGUACUUCAAAGAAGCGGCGUGAGGGCCUACGGAAGAAGGCGGAGGAGUUGGCCAUCAUGUGCAAUGCCAAGGCAUGUGUGCUAGUAUAUGGCGAGGGCGAGGUGGUACCACAAGUGUUCCCGUCCCCCGCUGAGGCGGUGCCUGUCCUGAACCGGUAUAUGAAUAUGCCGGAGGGCAACUUCAAGAAGACGGUGAAUCAUGCAAGCUUUCUCAAUCAACAUUUUGGCAAGCUCCAGGCCAAGGGCCACAAGCUCCAAGACAUCUGUGAAGACAAUGAGACCAGAAUCCUCCUGCACAAGGUCAUGCUCAGAAGCAACCUCUCGAGCCUUGAUGGCCUCAACAUCGAGGAUCUCACCAAUGUUGGCCGAAAGCUAGAGGUGAUCCUCCAGAGCAUGGGGGAAAGCAUCACAACAAUUAGCGGCCAACCACCUGUCUUCCAGUCCCAGGAGCCAUACGUCACCAACACCAUGGACAUGGGGUCUCCAGCAAUGUAUCACGCACCACCACCAGCUCCAUACGUCACCAACUACAUGCAUGUGGAGUCUCCGUCGACUUAUCAGGCACCACCAGCUCCAUACAUCACUCACAACAUGGACAUGGGGUCUUCGAUGAUGUAUCCGACAGCAUCACCAGCUCCCUAUGUCACUAGUGGCAUGGACAUGGGGCCUUCCACAAUGUUUAAGGCUCUGCCGCAGCAACAAGAGGAUGCACUUGACAUGAUGAGGUAUGGAGGAGACCUCAACGCCCUGGUCUAUAGUGGCUACAAUUCUAGUGGUCGUAAUGACACCGGCACAAGCACUGUCUUCCCUAGCGGUGAUAUUGACCCGAAGAGGUCGUUUGAGGUGGGGUUCGGUUGGCAGUUCGGUGGCGCUGAUCCUGAAGCGUCUUCUUCAAGUCCUUUCUUCCCAAUGUAA